RNAcentral lists this ribosomal RNA (257 nucleotides) under uncultured bacterium. RNAcentral describes it as "partial 16S ribosomal RNA". It matches the Rfam family "Bacterial small subunit ribosomal RNA", at positions 524 to 776 of the family's 1533-position model. The record is from RNAcentral.
UACGUAGGGUGCAAGCGUUGUCCGGAAUUAUUGGGCGUAAAGAGCUCGUAGGCGGUGUGUCACGUCGGCCGUGAAAACCUGCAGCUUAACUGUGGGCGUGCGGUCGAUACGGGCAUCACUGGAGUUCGGCAGGGGAGACUGGAAUUCCUGGUGUAGCGGUGAAAUGCGCAGAUAUCAGGAGGAACACCGGUGGCGAAGGCGGGUCUCUGGGCCGAUACUGACGCUGAGGCGCGGAAAGCCCAGGGGAGGCGAACGGG